Long non-coding RNA from Nyctereutes procyonoides (raccoon dog), 2510 nucleotides. RefSeq lists it as uncharacterized. The transcript has 4 exons. The record is from RefSeq and is a predicted model, not a curated record. Lineage: Eukaryota; Metazoa; Chordata; Mammalia; Carnivora; Canidae.
GUCAAAUCUAAAAUUUUAAUUUUGUUUUUUAGGAAUCUGGUGGACAGUCACAAACUUCGAUGAAAUUUCAGGAAGCAUAGCAAUUGAAAUGGAUAAAGGAACCUAUAUACAUGCACUUGACAAUGGACUUUUUACAUUGGGAGCUCCACAUAAAGAAGUUGAUGAGGGCCCUAGUCCUCCAGAGCAGUUUACAGCUGUCAAAUUGUCUGAUUCUAGGGGAAAAUGGCUUUAUUGGCCUCAAAUAGCUGCUUCCUUAGAUGCAAUGAAGCAGGUGAUAUAGAAGCAAAAAGUAAAACAGCAGGAGAAGAAGAAAUGAUAAAGGUUCUUUGACUCUGCACAUAUAGACAAGUCUCUGUUCCUGGCUCAUCAUGGCUUCAACUUCAAGGUAAGUGCCUUUGAUGAAAGCCUUUAUGAAGGGCCACACCCAGGACAUUUUUAGCUCUUGGUCCUGCUGGCCUCACUAAGCAUAUGGUGUCUAGGAAAGAAAAAGGAGGAAGAGAGAGCAGAAAAGGGAGCUUGAGGAAAGAUGAGGCAAGCAGGGUAGUGUGUGGUAUAGGUGAGGCUUUGUAGCUCCAGGGUCUGCACUGUGUCUGAAAAUGUGAUUUAUUUUUCUCAUCUUAAUUUUUUUAAGAUAUAUAUAUCAGAGAGAGGGAGAGAGAGCACAAGUGGGAGUUAGAGAGAGCGGGAAACACGCUCCAGAUGGAGCACGGAGCCCGAUGUGGGACUCGACCUCAUGACCCUGAGAUCAGGAUCCAAGCUGAAACCAACAGUUGGUCACAUAACUGACUGUGCCAUCCAGGCGCCCCUUCCUCAUCUUUUAAUGCACAAGGUGCUUGCUACUGGACUACCGUGGUCCCUGCAAGCUUUACCAUUCCAUGAGUGUUCUUUCCUUAUUUUUUUUCAAGUUUUUACUUAAAUUCUAGUUAGUUAACAUACACUGUAAUAUUGGUUCAAGACUAGUAUUUAGUGAUUCAUCACUUAUGUAUAACACAUAACAAGUGCCCUCCUCAAUGCCAAUCACCACGCCAAUCCCAUGCCCUGCUUCCCUCCAGCAAGCCUCUUGUUCUCUGUACUAAAGAAUCUCUUAUAGUAUACCUCCCACUCUUUUCCUUCCUUCCCCUAUAUUCGUGUGUUGUUGUUGUUGUUGUUUUAAUUCCACAUAUGAGUGAAAUCAUCCGGUACUUUGUCUGAAUGACUGACUUUGCUCAACGUAUAGAAUACACUCUAGGUCCUUUCUUUGGUGUUAGUAGUGAUCUCUCCUUUCUCUUUCAUGAUUUUUUUAAUUUGAGUGUUUUCUGUCUUCUUUUAAAUAAGGCUGGCUAGUGGUUUAUCUAUCUUAUUAAUUCUUUCAAAGAACCAAACCCUGGUUUUGUUGAUCUGUUCCACAGUUCUUCUGGUCUCUAUUUCAUUGAGUUCUGCUCGAGUCUUUUUUAACCCUUUUCUUCUGCUGGGUGUAGGAUCUAUUUGCUGUCUUUUCUCCAGCUCCCUUAGGUGCAAGGUUAGCUUUUGUAUUUGAGUUCUUUCCAGUUUUUGGAUGGAUGCUUGUAUUGUGAUGCAUUUCCCCCUCAGGCCUGCUUUUGCUGUAUCCCAAAGAUUUUGAAUGGUGGUGUCUUCAGUCUCAUUAGUUUCCAUGAAUCUUUUUAAUUCUUCUCUAAUUUCGUGGUUGACCCUUUCACCUUUUAGCAGGAUGGUCCUUAACCUCCACGUGUUUGAAAUCCUUCCAAACUUCUUCUUGUGAUUUAGUUCUAGUUUCAAAGCAUUAUGGUCUGAAAAUACACAGGGGACGAUCCCAAUCUUUUGGUAUCAGUUAGGACCUGAUGUGUGACCCAGUUUGUGGUCUCUUCUGGAGAAAGCCCCAUGUGCACUUGAGAAGAAUGUGUAUUCAGUUGCGUUUGGAUGUAAAGUUCUGUAAAUAUCUGUGAAAUCCAUCUGGUCCAGGGUAUCAUUUAAAGCUCCUGUUUCUUUGGAGAUGUUGUGCUUGAAAGACCUGUCGAUUGCAGAAAGCGCUACAUUGAAGUCCCCAAGUAGAAGUGUAUUAUUAUCUAAGUAUGUCUUAACUUUGGUUAUUAAUUGAUUGAUCUGCUUGGCGGCUCACGCAUCCGGGCCAUAAAUAUUCAUGAUUGUUAGGUCCUCUUGUUGGAUAGAUCCUUUAAGUAUGAUAUAGUGUCCCUCUUCACCUCUCACUACAGUCUUUGGGAUAAACUUUAAUUUAUCUGAUAUAAGGAUGGCUACCCCUGCUUUUUUUGAGGACCAUUUGAAUGGUACACAGUUCUCCAACCUUUUGUUUUCAGACUGUAGGUGUCCUGAUGUCUAAAAUGAGUCUCUUGGAGACAGCAAAUAGAUGGGCCUUGCUUUUUUUAUCCAGUCUGAAACCCUGCGCCUUUGGAUGGGGUCAUUAAGCCCGUUCACGUUCAGAGUUACUAUUGAAAGAUAGGGAUUUAUGAUACCUGAAUAUGAUACCUAUUCAGUCCCUGUGUUUGUGGAUUGUUUCCUUGGACUUCCUCUUUCUU